UACGGAGGGUGCAAGCGUUAUCCGGAUUCACUGGGUUUAAAGGGUGCGUAGGUGGGUUGGUAAGUCAGUGGUGAAAUCCCCGAGCUUAACUUGGAAACUGCCAUUGAUACUAUCAGUCUUGAAUAUUGUGGAGGUUAGCGGAAUAUGUCAUGUAGCGGUGAAAUGCUUAGAUAUGACAUAGAACACCAAUUGCGAAGGCAGCUGGCUACGCAUAUAUUGACACUGAGGCACGAAAGCGUGGGGAGCAAACAGG
Molecule: ribosomal RNA, 253 nt
Filed under: uncultured bacterium
Lineage: Bacteria
Description: partial 16S ribosomal RNA
Rfam family: Bacterial small subunit ribosomal RNA
Source: RNAcentral